AACGAACGCUGGCGGCAGGCCUCAAACAUGCAAGUCUAGGGGGUGUAGCAAUACAUCACCGGCGGACGGGUGCGUAACACGUGGGAAUAUACCUUUUGGUUCGGAACAACGCAGGGAAACUUGCGCUAAUACCGAAUGUGCCCCUUACGGGGAAAGAUUUAUCGCCAAAGGAUUAGCCCGCGUAGGAUUAGCUAGUUGGUGAGGUAAUGGCUCACCAAGGCUCCGAUCCUUAGCUGUUCUGAGAGGAAGAUCAGCCACACUGGGACUGAGACACGGCCCAGACUCCUACGGGAGGCAGCAGUUGGGAAUCUUGGACAAUGGGGGGAAACCCUGAUCCAGCCAUGCCGCGUGAGUGAUAAAGGCCUCGGUUGUAAACGUACUUUACGUACGGGGACGGAGUAAUAGACGGUACCGUACGUAAGAAGAC
RNAcentral lists this ribosomal RNA (427 nucleotides) under uncultured bacterium. RNAcentral's name for it is "bacterial SSU rRNA". It matches the Rfam family "Bacterial small subunit ribosomal RNA", at positions 29 to 492 of the family's 1533-position model. The record is from RNAcentral.